GCAAGUCGAACGAAUUCUUCGGAAUUAGUGGCGGACGGGUGAGUAACGCGUGAGAAUCUGCCUCCAGAAUGGGGACAACAGUUGGAAACGACUGCUAAUACCCAAUAAGCCGAAAGGUAAAAGAUUUAUCGUCUGGAGAGGAGCUCGCGUCCGAUUAGCUAGUUGGUGGGGUAAAAGCCUACCAAGGCGGCGAUCGGUAGCUGGUCUGAGAGGAUGAGC
This 219-nucleotide ribosomal RNA is filed under the name uncultured bacterium. Its description in RNAcentral is "partial 16S ribosomal RNA". It matches the Rfam family "Bacterial small subunit ribosomal RNA", at positions 57 to 305 of the family's 1533-position model. The record is from RNAcentral.